GGAGGAAAGUAGGGGAUCGAAAGACCUUGCGCUUAAGGAGCGGCCGAUGUCUGAUUAGCUAGUUGGUGGGGUAAAGGCCUACCAAGGCGACGAUCAGUAGUUGGUCUGAGAGGACGACCAACCACACUGGGACUGAGACACGGCCCAGACUCCUACGGGAGGCAGCAGUGGGGAAUUUUGGACAAUGGGCGCAAGCCUGAUCCAGCCAUGCCGCGUGAGUGAAGAAGGCCUUCGGGUUGUAAAGCUCUUUCAGUUGGGAAGAAACGAUUGCAACUAAUAAUUGUAAUUAAUGACGGUACCGACAGAAGAAGCACCGGCUAACUACGUGCCAGCAGCCGCGGUAAUACGUAGGGUGCGAGCGCUAAUCGGAAUUACUGGGCGUAAAGGGUGCGCAGGCGGUUUUGUAAGUCAGAUGUGAAAUCCCCGGGCUUAACCUGGGAAUGGCGUUUGAAACUACAAAGCUAG
This 465-nucleotide ribosomal RNA is filed under the name uncultured bacterium. Its description in RNAcentral is "bacterial SSU rRNA". It matches the Rfam family "Bacterial small subunit ribosomal RNA", at positions 198 to 644 of the family's 1533-position model. The record is from RNAcentral.